CUUAAACUGAAUGGUAACAGACCACAAAACCCAGUGAUGAUUAGACAGCGAUAUUCUGAACAAGAGCUCUCAGCCAUACUUGUAGUUGCUUCCAUCACUUCAAUGACUCAGCAGACAUAAUAGGCUUCAGUGGGAGCUUUUAGGUUUUGGAACCAAGCAGGAGUCAUGCCUUGAGGUGGAGAAUUCCUAAGUUGGAAUGCAAGGUUUGUUCUUUGUUCUAUGAGAAGAGGUGCGGAAUGGCCGGGAGAGAGACUGGUGAGCACGUCGUGAGCUGACACACGUAAGGGUACCAGCUCUGACUCGGUCAACUAGGCACAAUCAGAAUGACAUGAGCUCCAUCCCUUUUUAUUUUCAGCAGGACCAUCGACAGCAGGGGAAAUGGAAUGCUGUCCCAUCCCCGCUCUGGAGCAGUAGUGUGGACAUUUCUUGUUCAGGCACUAAUCUUGAUAGCAACCCCUUCCUAAAUGCUGGUUCCAGUACAAUGGCAGAUCCCAGGAAAACAACAAAAUUAGAUUGUGCAGCUUCUUACCUGCAGCUCCUUUGAGACUCUCUCUAAGUGAUCCUGUUUCCACUUCCCGAUUGCAGGCUGAGUCUGAGUCAUCACUGCUCUGAUAUUACUCUAAGGAAGCUGAAAGAGAAUUCUACCAGACUGCUAUUCCUUUUGGCACAGUCCCACACUUUAAUGAGAGAUUAUCAACUCCUCAAAUAGAACAAUUAGAAGAUAAUUGAAUGGAAAAUAAUCUGAGAUUUGUAAAUUUUCUAAUAACGGUGAUCGAAAUUCUAAUUUUUCAUUAGAUUUAAAGAGAUCUUACAAAAAGUGCUAGAAUUACAACUGAUCCGUCUACCUCAGAUUUUCUUCCUCUGAGAGGUGCUCUUUAUAGAUUGUGUCUGUUCUUUUUAACUCCUCAGGGAUACAGGAAAAAUAAUCAGUGUAUAGGCACACUUUAAUAAACUACUUUGUGUGUGAGAGGAGGAUUGGCUCCUUUAUUUAGUACACCUUAGGUUUUAAGGUCCAGAAGGUCUUUAUCUUUCUCGCUGUCUGAGAAACAGAUAAGAAAAACAAAGAUGUGUAGCUGUUUGUAGAUUUGGAGAGGAAAAACAGUCUUCUGGUUAAGACACUGGACUGGAACAAGAGAUGUGGGUUCAAGUCCUGGCUCUCUUACUGAAUUCCUGCAACACUUUCGGCAAGUCUCUUCAACUCUCUGUGUCUCAGUAUACAA
Molecule: long non-coding RNA, 1220 nt
Organism: Mauremys mutica (yellowpond turtle)
Lineage: Eukaryota; Metazoa; Chordata; Testudines; Geoemydidae
Exons: 4
Source: RefSeq, a predicted model, not a curated record